RNAcentral lists this ribosomal RNA (406 nucleotides) under uncultured bacterium. Its description in RNAcentral is "partial 16S ribosomal RNA". It matches the Rfam family "Bacterial small subunit ribosomal RNA", at positions 29 to 526 of the family's 1533-position model. The record is from RNAcentral.
AUUGAACGCUGGCGGCAGGCCUAACACAUGCAAGUCGAGCGAGUGGCGGACGGGUGAGUAAUGUCUGGGAAACUGCCUGAUGGAGGGGGAUAACUACUGGAAACGGUAGCUAAUACCGCAUACCAUCAGAUGUGCCCAGAUGGGAGUAGCUAGUAGGUGGGGUAAAGGCUCACCUAGGCGACGAUCCCUAGCUGGUCUGAGAGGAUGACCAGCCACACUGGAAAUGAGACACGGUCCAGACUCCUACGGGAGGCAGCAGUGGGGAAUAUUGCACAAUGGGCGCAAGCCUGAUGCAGCCAGGCCGGGUGUGUGAAGAAGGCCUUAGGGUUGUAAAGCACUUUCAGCGGGGAGGCGUUACCCGCAGAAGAAGCACCGGCGAACUCCGUGCCAGCCGCCGCGGUAAUAC